Molecule: ribosomal RNA, 31 nt
Filed under: Phyllosticta citribraziliensis
Lineage: Eukaryota; Fungi; Ascomycota; Dothideomycetes; Botryosphaeriales; Phyllostictaceae
Description: 18S ribosomal RNA
Source: RNAcentral
CCCCUGGUACAUGCCUCACCCCUUGUAUAUC